AGUGAACGCUGGCGGCAGGCCUAACACAUGCAAGUCGAACGGAUGAAGAGAACGUGCUCGUUCAUUCGGCUGCCGACUGGCGAGCGGUUCCUAAGAAUCUGCGUAUUUAUUGUGUCGAGGGGCAUAAAGCGGGGAAAAUUACGCCAAUACCCCAUACGACCAACGGGUGGAAGCUGCGGACCUUCGGCCCUUGCGCGAUUGAAUGUGCCGAGGUCGGAUUAGCUAGUUGGCGGGGUAAAGGCCCACCAAGGCGACGAUCCGUAGCUGGUCUGAGAGGAUGAUCAGCCACACUGGAACUGAGACACGGUCCAGACUCCUACGGGAGGCAGCAGUGGGGAAUAUUGGACAAAGGGCGCAAGCCUGAUCCAGCCAUGCCGCGUGUGUGAAGAAGGUCUUCGGAUUGUAAAGCCCUUUAAGUGGGGAAGAAGAGCAGUAAGUUAAUACCCUGCUGUUCUGACGUUACCAAAAGAAUAAGCACCGGCUAACUUCGUG
This 492-nucleotide ribosomal RNA is filed under the name uncultured bacterium. Its description in RNAcentral is "partial 16S ribosomal RNA". It matches the Rfam family "Bacterial small subunit ribosomal RNA", at positions 29 to 507 of the family's 1533-position model. The record is from RNAcentral.